This 419-nucleotide ribosomal RNA is filed under the name uncultured bacterium. RNAcentral's name for it is "partial 16S ribosomal RNA". It matches the Rfam family "Bacterial small subunit ribosomal RNA", at positions 355 to 767 of the family's 1533-position model. The record is from RNAcentral.
UGGGGAAUUUUGGACAAUGGGCGAAAGCCUGAUCCAGCAAUGCCGCGUGUGUGAAGAAGGCCUUCGGGUUGUAAAGCACUUUUGUCCGGAAAGAAAUCCUUGGCUCUAAUACAGUCGGGGGAUACGGUACCGGAAGAAUAAGCACCGGCUAACUACGUGCCAGCAGCCGCGGUAAUACGUAGGGUGCAAGCGUUAAUCGGAAUUACUGGGCGUAAAGCGUGCGCAGGCGGUUUGCUAAGACCGAUGUGAAAUCCCCGGGCUCAACCUGGGAACUGCAUUGGUGACUGGCAGGCUAGAGUAUGGCAGAGGGGGGUAGAAUUCCACGUGUAGCAGUGAAAUGCGUAGAGAUGUGGAGGAAUACCGAUGGCGAAGGCAGCCCCCUGGGCCAAUACUGACGCUCAUGCACGAAAGCGUGGGAG